UACGAAGGGGGCUAGCGUUGCUCGGAAUCACUGGGCGUAAAGGGCGCGUAGGCGGAUCUUUAAGUCAGGGGUGAAAGCCCAAGGCUCAACCUUGGAAUUGCCUUUGAUACUGAGGAUCUCGAGACCGGAAGAGGUAAGUGGAACUGCGAGUGUAGAGGUGAAAUUCGUAGAUAUUCGCAAGAACACCAGUGGCGAAGGCGGCUUACUGGUCCGGUUCUGACGCUGAGGCGCGAAAGCGUGGGGAGCAAACAGG
This 253-nucleotide ribosomal RNA is filed under the name uncultured bacterium. RNAcentral's name for it is "partial 16S ribosomal RNA". It matches the Rfam family "Bacterial small subunit ribosomal RNA", at positions 524 to 776 of the family's 1533-position model. The record is from RNAcentral.